UCCACAGAAAACAGACAGAUGAUUGGGAUAGCAAUAAAUAUAAACCUGUUGUGAUUCUUGGUGGAUCGGACUGCGCAAUAUGUUUAAAGCAGAAGGACAGUAGAAGUGAGCCGGUAGUAACUUUAUUUUGUAAUCACGAAUUCCAUAAAAAUUGUGCUCGUGGAUGGCUUUUAAAUAGUGAAAAGGAAAGAUGCUGUCUUUGUCGUUCCUCCAUAAGUUCAUUUACGAAAUCCGAACUAACAGACGCCAAGAAAGAAGAAAAGAGUUUCAUUCAGUCGAAUUCAAACACAUGUCGACCAGCAAUACAGAUCAGUUAAAUACUGACAAAUUAUAGUUGUCAAGUUGGGUUAAAAAGAGUUUGACUAGGAAUCAUUGAUGGCUGCGCACUUGACAAAAAACUUGAUGUUGAAAAGGCCUACAUGAGUGCCAUUUGUUGCCGUUGAUAUCAGAGUAUAAACAAGUUUUGAAGAUUGUUAAUGGUAGUGACUGGAUUCGGUAGUGAAAGGAAAUGAAAACAUAAGAUUGUGAGAUGGUUAUAUCUUGAAGCGUUUAUAUAGUUUUUCUAUAUAGUGUCGAUUUCUGACAGAAAAACUUAAAUGUACACCAUGGAAUUGUUAACUGUGCAUAACAGUAUCGAUAAAUACUAAUGUUAUAGAUAGAACAAGGAAAUAGUUGUCAUGGAGGGAAAUUUCUUUCAUUUAUUUUAGUAACUUUGUUAUUUGUUUCAUUUAUACUUUCUGUUAUGAAAUACCAUUUUACAUA
Long non-coding RNA from Mytilus californianus (California mussel), 762 nucleotides. RefSeq lists it as uncharacterized. The record is from RefSeq and is a predicted model, not a curated record. The transcript is spliced from 4 exons. Lineage: Eukaryota; Metazoa; Mollusca; Bivalvia; Mytilida; Mytilidae.